RNAcentral lists this ribosomal RNA (585 nucleotides) under Escherichia coli. Its description in RNAcentral is "bacterial SSU rRNA". It matches the Rfam family "Bacterial small subunit ribosomal RNA", at positions 393 to 970 of the family's 1533-position model. The record is from RNAcentral. Lineage: Bacteria; Pseudomonadati; Pseudomonadota; Gammaproteobacteria; Enterobacterales; Enterobacteriaceae.
CAUGCCGCGUGUAUGAAGAAGGCCUUCGGGUUGUAAAGUACUUUCAGCGGGGAGGAAGGGAGUAAAGUUAAUACCUUUACUCAUUGACGUUACCCGCAGAAGAAGCACCGGCUAACUCCGUGCCAGCAGCCGCGGUAAUACGGGGGGUGCAAGCGUUAAUCGGAAUUACUGGGCGUAAAGCGCACGCAGGCGGUUUGUUAAGUCAGAUGUGAAAUCCCCGGGCUCAACCUGGGAACUGCAUCUGAUACUGGCAAGCUUGAGUCUCGUAGAGGGGGGUAGAAUUCCAGGUGUAGCGGUGAAAUGCGUAGAGAUCUGGAGGAAUACCGGUGGCGAAGGCGGCCCCCUGGACGAAGACUGACGCUCAGGUGCGAAAGCGUGGGGAGCAAACAGGAUUAGAUACCCUGGUAGUCCACGCCGUAAACGAUGUCGACUUGGAGGUUGUGCCCUUGAGGCGUGGCUUCCGGAGCUAACGCGUUAAGUCGACCGCCUGGGGAGUACGGCCGCAAGGUUAAAACUCAAAUGAAUUGACGGGGGCCCGCACAAGCGGUGGAGCAUGUGGUUUAAUUCGAUGCAACGCGAAGAACC